Molecule: unclassified non-coding RNA, 391 nt
Filed under: soil metagenome
Description: partial contains 5.8S ribosomal RNA, internal transcribed spacer 2, and large subunit ribosomal RNA
Rfam family: 5.8S ribosomal RNA (bases 1-122)
Source: RNAcentral
GAUGAAGAACGUAGCGAAAUGCGAUACUUGGUGUGAAUUGCAGAAUCCCGUGAACCAUCGAGUCUUUGGACGCAAGUUGCGCCCGAAGCCAUUAGGCCGAGGGCACGCCUGCCUGGGCGUCACACGUCGUUGCCCCCCCAUCUACUCCUUCGGGAUUGCGGGGGGCGGAUGAUGGCCUCUCGUGCGCCUCGUCGCGCGGUUGGCCUAAAUGCCAAGUCCUCGGCGACGCACGCCACGACAAUCGGUGGUUGCGAAACCUCGGUUGCCUGUCGUGUGCGGUCGUCGCGCAUCGAGGGCUCGAAAAAAUUGCCGGGCUUCGGCUCGACUUUCAACGCGACCCCAGGUCAGGCGGGGUUACCCGCUGAAUUUAAGCAUAUCAAUAAGCGGAGGA